Molecule: ribosomal RNA, 184 nt
Filed under: uncultured bacterium
Lineage: Bacteria
Description: partial 16S ribosomal RNA
Rfam family: Bacterial small subunit ribosomal RNA
Source: RNAcentral
UGGGGAAUAUUGGACAAUGGGCGAAAGCCUGAUCCAGCCAUGCCGCGUGUGUGAAGAAGGUCUUCGGAUUGUAAAGCACUUUAAGUUGGGAGGAAGGGCAGUUACCUAAUACGUAAUUGUUUUGACGUUACCGACAGAAUAAGCACCGGCUAACUCUGUGCCAGCAGCCCCCGGUUAAUACAAA